GUGCUCGCUUCGGCAGCACGCAUACUAAAAUGGGAACGGGACACAGAGGAUUAGCAUGGCUCCUGCGCACGAAUGACACGCAAAUUCGUGAAGCAGUCCAUAGUUUU
Nycticebus coucang (slow loris) is the source of this 107-nucleotide small nuclear RNA. NCBI's taxonomy places the organism in Eukaryota, Metazoa, Chordata, Mammalia, Primates, Lorisidae. The record is from RefSeq and is a predicted model, not a curated record.